CAAUGACAACAUUGAUGUAGUGUG
RNAcentral lists this non-coding RNA (24 nucleotides) under Arabidopsis thaliana (thale cress). Lineage: Eukaryota; Viridiplantae; Streptophyta; Magnoliopsida; Brassicales; Brassicaceae. The record is from RNAcentral.